Molecule: long non-coding RNA, 216 nt
Filed under: Lathyrus oleraceus (garden pea)
Lineage: Eukaryota; Viridiplantae; Streptophyta; Magnoliopsida; Fabales; Fabaceae
Description: Pisum sativum (pea) long non-coding RNA (PSAT_LNC022914)
Source: RNAcentral
AGCAUUGACCAAAGAUAGAGGAGAUCAAGGUCAAAUAAUAGUAAACAGAAGCAAAAUGAAGAUUAGAAGUUAAGAAGUAAUAAAAUAUUGGUAUUUUUUAAAAUUAAAAUAAUACUUGAAUUAAAAUAAUAAAGAAAGGUCAAACUUCAAAUUCACUUCAAAUCAACUUUGAAAAGUCCAAGUGAAUUAUCCUAAGUUCAACAAGGUCAAACAAAG